AAUGGACCGUAUCAGACUCAUAGUCUGACUAGAAUCUGACUAUGACAACGUCAGGCUAGUGUUUGACAGUUUU
This is a long non-coding RNA of Etheostoma spectabile (orangethroat darter), 73 nucleotides long. RefSeq lists it as uncharacterized. The record is from RefSeq and is a predicted model, not a curated record. Lineage: Eukaryota; Metazoa; Chordata; Actinopteri; Perciformes; Percidae. The transcript has 3 exons.